AAACACAGAUGAAGGGUUGUGACAUAAGAGGAGGUAUGGUUGCAAAUGUUGAUGCCUUAACAACUCGGCAGCUGUAGGUCUGUGUUCUGGAUUUUUCCUUAGCAUGCUUUUGAUUAUCUGUUUCAAGGUGGAGGAGUAUAUAAUCGGAAUUGGUGAGAACAAACCCCGGUUUAUUUUGUUGAUAAGUGCAGUCUUGUCAGCAGCUCUAAAUGGUGGUUGAUGUGCAGCAAUCUCAAACAUGCAGCAUCCAAGUGACCAUAUAUCAGAUUUGUAGCCAUAGGGUAUACCAGAAAGGAGCUCAGGGCACAUGCCGUUCGGAGUGCCAGGUACCACGGAAGCAAGGCCUUCUGCAUCGAGCAAUUUUGCUAAGCCAAAAUCACCUAACCUGAUGUCG
This 394-nucleotide unclassified non-coding RNA is filed under the name Hevea brasiliensis (rubber tree). Lineage: Eukaryota; Viridiplantae; Streptophyta; Magnoliopsida; Malpighiales; Euphorbiaceae. The record is from RNAcentral.